Molecule: long non-coding RNA, 1068 nt
Filed under: Gadus morhua (Atlantic cod)
Lineage: Eukaryota; Metazoa; Chordata; Actinopteri; Gadiformes; Gadidae
Description: lncRNA (ENSGMOG00000028002.1)
Source: RNAcentral
UGGGCGGACAAAUAACUCAACGAUUUUACAGAAAAUCGAAAUAUUCAAAACAUUUGUGUUUUUUCUUCUCCAGUGUGGCUCUGGUAAAAUACAAUCUUCCCAACGAGAGCAUCGACCGAGGUCUUCUUGACCGAAUCGAUGCCACAUGGUGGGGCAGCCGAUUCCCUGAAAGUAAAUGACUCCCUGCCUCCUCAGGAGUUCAUCCGUGGUUCUUCACUGAUCUGAAUGUGACUCACUCUAUGAGUACGGUAGAGAAACGCACUCAUGAAUACCCUGUGACCGCCUAAAGGGUUAACUCAGAAGGCAGAGGGGAAGCGUCCAGCUAAAACCACAGGCCUUUCGGUUUUCCCUCACCAAGUACCUUCUCCCCAAGUCAAAACAGAGCCUUUGUCUCCCUCUGUCUGCUGUUCUGGGUACUGCACAAUGGCUCCCAGCUGGUCCGCAUCAAGAACAAGUCCAACUGAUUCCAAUCACACACCUGGAUAAUGUGCUUGGACUGUAAGGGUACAUAUAUAUUUGAUAUACCAUAACUUAAACAUAAUGCUACAGUAUAAUCUCUUAACCAGUGUGGAUUCAAUUAUUGUUAUCUUUAUUAAUACGGAGUAUAAUGAGUGGAUUAUCUUUAUACAAUAACUGUAUUAAUGUGUAUAAUUGUCAAUGGUGCAUAUGGUACAUAUAAUUUAUUUGUACUUAAAUAGAAUGAAAAGUAUGAUUCUGAUCGCUUAACAUUGUUAAGCCUGCUAACUACGUCAAAAUGAAUACGUAUUUGAACUUGUUGUUGUGAAUGAAGUAAUGAAAUGCAGUCAAAUCACUGUGAUUACACUGUAAGAUAUACAGGGAAAAACGAACAUUUGAAAUAUAAUGUGAUGAUAUUGAUUUAGCCUCAUAGGUUUGGAUGCCUCCAAGUGUCUAGUUAUUUCUAGGAUUGUUGAAGCCAGUAUGGAUAAUAGUGUUGAUCUUAACAUCUUAAACUUUUGACCUGUCAUAUAACCUCAAGAGAAUAAAGUCUGUAUUCCAGAUAGCCGAUUUCCUUUUACAGUCUUGGUUGACAAGGUGAGCUGCUCGCAU